UUCAUCUCCAUUUAUCAGUCCCUCCCCUGAGCCUAGCUCCAGGCUGGGGCCGGAGAUUGGGCAGUGAUAACUGUCUCUCCCUGCAGCAAUGCUGUGACUGCUGUGGCCUGGGCCUCCGCGUACGGGCCGAGGGCCAGUCGUGUGAGUCCAAUCCCAACCUGGGCUAUCCCUGCGAUCAUGUCAUGCUCUCCUGCUGUGAGGGUGAAGAGCCUCUUAUAGUACCUGAAGUUCGCCGACCUCCAGAGCCCGCAGCUGCACCACGGAGAGUUUCAGAGGCAGAGAUGGCGGGCCGAGAGGCCCUGUCACUGGGCACGGAGGCCGAGCUGCCCAACAGCCUGCCGGGCGAUGACCAGGAUGAGUGCCUUCUCCUCCCGGGAGAGCUGUGCCAGCACCUUUGCAUCAAUACUGUGGGCUCUUACCACUGUGCCUGCUUUCCUGGCUUCUCACUGCAGGACGAUGGCCGCACUUGCCGCCCAGAGGGUCACCCUCCAGAGCCGGAAGCCCCACAGGAGCCUGCACUGAAGUCAGAAUUUUCCCAGGUGGCCUCUAACACCAUCCCGCUGCCAC
This 567-nucleotide small RNA is filed under the name Pongo abelii (Sumatran orangutan). RNAcentral's name for it is "retained intron". The record is from RNAcentral. Lineage: Eukaryota; Metazoa; Chordata; Mammalia; Primates; Hominidae.